Phascolarctos cinereus (koala) is the source of this 765-nucleotide long non-coding RNA. RefSeq lists it as uncharacterized. The record is from RefSeq and is a predicted model, not a curated record. Lineage: Eukaryota; Metazoa; Chordata; Mammalia; Diprotodontia; Phascolarctidae.
GGGAGAGGAUAGGAUGUGUUGGAAAAGUUAUUUCAUAAAUUCUCUCCUUCACCAUCAUAGUACCCCUCUCCCAUCCCACCAGUCCAGGCCUCUGACUUUGGAUUCUCUUUAUUCCAGAGGGAUCCCUCAACUGAGGCCUGGGAUUAAGCCUAACACCCUUUGCCUAGACCUAGUCCUAGUCUAAGGAGAAGCUAAGAGAAGAUUAUCAGGGCGUCCAUUCUCAACAAAUCUGUGUUCAGGAAAAUGGCUCAGUGCAAGAAAGGCUGGCUAUGGUGCCACCCUGGAACCGAGCUCAGGCCCCUGAACAGUGAGAGGUCCACCUGCUUCUGGAUUCCAGGCUUUUGGUUGGAGGUAGAGUCUGAAGAUUCUCUUAACACAGCUCCAUCAAAGCUAAAGGAGCUUCUUUCCUAGCAUUCAAAGCUCCUACCCUUAGCCUGCUUACUGGGAAGCUUCUAGGAAUGAAAUGACACAUGACCCUAGGGCAGGAUCACUCCCAAAUUCUGAUUGUUGUCAUUUGCCUAGGAAUCUCUGCUAGGGAAAAAACUCUUGUCUAUGCUAUAAAACCAUAAAUAGGCAUAAAUGAUGUCAUUUUGGGGGAGGGAAAUGGUUUUUCUCUUCCCUGCCUCUGAAGCCCUGAAAAAUAGCAUGUUAUCAAUGGAAAGAGCAGCAGGCAGGGAUCAGGAGACCUGGGUUCUAGAACUGCAUCUAAUUUAUUGUGAUCUUUGAAAAGUUGCUUCUUUAAAAAAAUAAAAGGAAAUGUAUUUC